Molecule: non-coding RNA, 369 nt
Organism: Acanthochromis polyacanthus (spiny chromis)
Lineage: Eukaryota; Metazoa; Chordata; Actinopteri; Pomacentridae
Source: the annotation of a RefSeq genome assembly
AUGUUUGGGACUCUGCUGCUGGCCACCCUGGGGCUCCUUGUUCAGGGCUCAUCAGGAGAAAUCACUGUGACUCAGUCUGCUGGAUCUCAGUCUGUUGUUCCAGGACAGAGAGUCUCCAUCACAUGUAAAGUCAGUCCAAGUACUAGUUACUGCUUCAACUGGUACCAACAGAAACCAGGAGAAGCUCCUAAACUCCUCAUUGACUGCUCUAGCAGUCGUCAGUCUGGAGUUUCUGAUCGUUUCAGUGGAACAAGCUCUGGAAAUACUGACUUCACUCUGACCAUCAGUGGAGUCCAGACUGAAGAUGCAGCAGUUUAUUACUGUCAGAGUGUUCACUACAUCAACAGUCAGUGGUUGUUCACACAGUGA